This is a long non-coding RNA of Daphnia pulex (common water flea), 1039 nucleotides long. RefSeq lists it as uncharacterized. The transcript has 3 exons. The record is from RefSeq and is a predicted model, not a curated record. NCBI's taxonomy places the organism in Eukaryota, Metazoa, Arthropoda, Branchiopoda, Diplostraca, Daphniidae.
GAACAGACCGAAUAAAAGGCUUUAACAAAAUUUGGAUAACAAAAUAGAGAUGGCGAUUGUCAAAAUAAAAGAGUCCGCUAGAUUUUCCUUCACGACUGGGAAAAAAGAAAAGGGCGAGCGGGUGUGCAAGAAAUCAUUCGCGCCGCGAAUAUUAUCCACGGCUUUGACUCAGGGUGUCAACCGUACGUGUUCCGCUGGAUGACGACGGUUUCCCACGACGGCUUUUUCGCGCAACAGGAUACUCAACCCCAAAACUGGAGAACCUCCAGUGGGGGCGUGAAAAGAGGUUGGGCGUUAAGAAGACCAAGUGGAGAGACGGGCAAACAGAAGACAACAAACCCGCAAGUUCUCUUUAGCUACCACACUAUACGACAUAGCUUCGUGUGUGUCUUGUGUGUUCGCGGAUUCGUAGAAACAAACCAAACAAAAACCCGAAAAAAGGAUUACAAUUGGGAAAAUGGCUUCCACUUCAAUUAUUUUUGUCGUACCUUUUUUUUGUUUCUUUUCGAAGAAGAAAGAAGAAAGAAAAAAAAGAAAGAGAAGCUUAAGCUACACAUUUUCUGUUACUCGCCCAGUCAUUAGAACCCAGCGGAGCGUAGAAAUGGUUUUUCUUGGCAAAAGUUACAACAUUUUCCACAUCCCACGAAGUAAUGACUACGGCGUUCAAGCGCUGUCUGACUUUCCCGGCCCAUUAGCCACGAAUAACGGACGCCACAAAAGUUUGAAUGAAAAAGAGGGGAAAAACAAAAUUCUUGAAGAAAUGAACAAAAAUGGAGAAACAAGGGUGCGGAAAAAAUUUAAAAUUCUUCGUUCUAUAAUACGACUUAAAUGGCAAACACGACCUAUAUCAUUUUAUUUCUUAUCCCGUCUUGGGAAACUGACAAAAGAAAUGAUUUAUCGCUCAGCUUCGGGACAACCUGCUGUUUGCUUCGACGUCUUCGUGUCAUUUCUGCCAACGCAACUCCAUUACGGCCGUCGGACCGUCUCAUUUUAAUAUGUGUCUGCCUGAAUAAUACACUAGACUAGCCAGUUACAUGUU